GAUGAACGCUGGCGGCGUGCCUAAUACAUGCAAGUCGAGCGAACAGACAAGGAGCUUGCUCCUCUGACGUUAGCGGCGGACGGGUGAGUAACACGUGGAUAACCUACCUAUAAGACUGGGAUAACUUCGGGAAACCGGAGCUAAUACCGGAUAACAUGUUGAACCGCAUGGUUCAACAGUGAAAGACGGUCUUGCUGUCACUUAUAGAUGGAUCCGCGCCGCAUUAGCUAGUUGGUAAGGUAACGGCUUACCAAGGCAACGAUGCGUAGCCGACCUGAGAGGGUGAUCGGCCACACUGGAACUGAGACACGGUCCAGACUCCUACGGGAGGCAGCAGUAGGGAAUCUUCCGCAAUGGGCGAAAGCCUGACGGAGCAACGCCGCGUGAGUGAAGAAGGUCUUCGGAUCGUAAAACUCUGUUAUUAGGGAAGAACAAAUGUGUAAGUAACUAUGCACGUCUUGACGGUACCUAAUCAGAAAGCUACGGCUAACUACGUG
This 497-nucleotide ribosomal RNA is filed under the name uncultured bacterium. RNAcentral's name for it is "partial 16S ribosomal RNA". It matches the Rfam family "Bacterial small subunit ribosomal RNA", at positions 28 to 507 of the family's 1533-position model. The record is from RNAcentral.